This 405-nucleotide ribosomal RNA is filed under the name uncultured prokaryote. RNAcentral's name for it is "bacterial SSU rRNA". It matches the Rfam family "Bacterial small subunit ribosomal RNA", at positions 355 to 776 of the family's 1533-position model. RNAcentral also lists the same sequence under 1 other name. The record is from RNAcentral.
UGGGGAAUAUUGGGCAAUGGGCGCAAGCCUGACCCAGCAACGCCGCGUGAAGGAAGAGGGUCUUCGGAUUGUAAACUUCUUUUAUAAAGGAAGAACUAUGACUGUACUUUAUGAAUAAGCCACGGCUAACUACGUGCCAGCAGCCGCGGUAAUACGUAGGUGGCAAGCGUUAUCCGGAUUUACUGGGUGUAAAGGGUGAGUAGGCGGGAAGGCAAGUCAGAUGUGAAAUGCAGGGGCUCAACCCCUGAACUGCAUUUGAAACUGCUUUUCUUGAGUAUCGGAGAGGUAAUUGGAAUUCCCAGUGUAGCGGUGAAAUGCGUAGAGAUUGGGAGGAACACCAGUGGCGAAGGCGGAUUACUGGACGAUAACUGACGCUGAGGCACGAAAGUGUGGGGAGCAAACAGG